GAUGAACGCUGGCGGCGUGCCUAAUACAUGCAAGUCGAGCGAACGGACGAGAAGCUUGCUUCUCUGAUGUUAGCGGCGGACGGGUGAGUAACACGUGGAUAACCUACCUAUAUGACUGGGAUAACUUCGGGAAACCGUAGCUAAUACCGGAUAAUAUUUUGAACCGCAUGGUUCAAAAGUGAAAGACGGUCUUGCUGUCACUUAUAGAUGGAUCCGCGCUGCAUUAGCUAGUUGGUAAGGUAACGGCUUACCAAGGCAACGAUGCAUAGCCGACCUGAGAGGGUGAUCGGCCACACUGGAACUGAGACACGGUCCAGACUCCUACGGGAGGCAGCAGUAGGGAAUCUUCCGCAAUGGGCGAAAGCCUGACGGAGCAACGCCGCGUGAGUGAUGAAGGUCUUCGGAUCGUAAAACCCUGUUAUUAGGGAAGAACAUAUGUGUAAGUAACUGUGCACAUCUUGACGGUACCUAAUCAGAAAGCCACGGCUAACUACGUG
This 497-nucleotide ribosomal RNA is filed under the name uncultured bacterium. Its description in RNAcentral is "partial 16S ribosomal RNA". It matches the Rfam family "Bacterial small subunit ribosomal RNA", at positions 28 to 507 of the family's 1533-position model. The record is from RNAcentral.